Molecule: ribosomal RNA, 252 nt
Filed under: uncultured bacterium
Lineage: Bacteria
Description: partial 16S ribosomal RNA
Rfam family: Bacterial small subunit ribosomal RNA
Source: RNAcentral
ACUCCUACGGGAGGCAGCAGUGGGGAAUAUUGCACAAUGGGCGCAAGCCUGAUGCAGCCAUGCCGCGUGUGUGAAGAAGGCCUUCGGGUUGUAAAGCACUUUCAGUUGUGAGGAAGGUGGUGUCGUUAAUAGCGGGGAUCAUUUGACGUUAGCAACAGAAGAAGCACCGGCUAACUCCGUGCCAGCAGCCGCGGUAAUACGGAGGGUGCGAGCGUUAAUCGGAAUUACUGGGCGUAAAGCGCAUGCAGGUGG